Molecule: small nuclear RNA, 168 nt
Filed under: Neotoma lepida (desert woodrat)
Lineage: Eukaryota; Metazoa; Chordata; Mammalia; Rodentia; Cricetidae
Description: U1 spliceosomal RNA
Rfam family: U1 spliceosomal RNA
About the family: U1 is a small nuclear RNA (snRNA) component of the spliceosome (involved in pre-mRNA splicing). Its 5' end forms complementary base pairs with the 5' splice junction, thus defining the 5' donor site of an intron. There are significant differences in sequence and secondary structure between metazoan and yeast U1 snRNAs, the latter being much longer (568 nucleotides as compared to 164 nucleotides in human).
Source: Rfam by way of RNAcentral
ACAGUUACCUGGCAGAGACGAUNCCAUCCAUGGGCAAGUAGGUGGUUUUCCUCGGGUGAGGCUCAUCCAUGGCACUCAGGGUGUUGCUGACCUCUGUGAUUUCCCCACAUGGGGUAAACUUGACUGUAUAAUUUGUGGUAGGGAGGGGUGUGUUUGUGCUUUAGUCUA